ACGAACCGUCCAAACGUUAUUCGGAAUCACUGGGCUUAAAGGGCGCGUAGGCGGCCGAGCGGGUCACGGGUGAAAUCCCCCAGCUUAACUGGGGAACUGCCCUUGAUACCACUGCGGCUCGAGGAAGGAAGGGGCAAUCGGAACUGUCGGUGGAGCGGUGAAAUGCGUUGAUAUCGACAGGAACGCCGGUGGCGAAAGCGGAUUGCUGGUCCUUUUCUGACGCUGAGGCGCGAAAGCCAGGGGAGCAAACGGGAUUAGAUACCCCGGUAGUCCUGGCCUUAAACGAUGAGAACUAGGUAGUGGGUCCGACCUGGGCACACUGCCGAAGCGAAAGUCUUAAGUUCUCCGCCUGGGGAGUAUGGUCGCAAGGCUG
Molecule: ribosomal RNA, 373 nt
Filed under: uncultured bacterium
Lineage: Bacteria
Description: bacterial SSU rRNA
Rfam family: Bacterial small subunit ribosomal RNA
Source: RNAcentral